AUUGAACGCUGGCGGCAGGCUUAACACAUGCAAGUCGAGCGGAGUGAUGGUGCUUGCACUAUCACUUAGCGGCGGACGGGUGAGUAAUGCUUAGGAAUCUGCCUAUUAGUGGGGGACAACAUCUCGAAAGGGAUGCUAAUACCGCAUACGUCCUACGGGAGAAAGCAGGGGAUCACUUGUGACCUUGCGCUAAUAGAUGAGCCUAAGUCGGAUUAGCUAGUUGGUGGGGUAAAGGCCUACCAAGGCGACGAUCUGUAGCGGGUCUGAGAGGAUGAUCCGCCACACUGGGACUGAGACACGGCCCAGACUCCUACGGGAGGUAGCAGUGGGGAAUAUUGGACAAUGGGGGGAACCCUGAUCCAGCCAUGCCGCGUGUGUGAAGAAGGCCUUAUGGUUGUAAAGCACUUUAAGCGAGGAGGAGGCUCUUUUGGUUAAUACCCAAGAUGAGUGGACGUUACUCGCAGAAUAAGCACCUGCUAACUCUGUGCCAGCCGCCGCCGUAA
RNAcentral lists this ribosomal RNA (503 nucleotides) under uncultured bacterium. RNAcentral describes it as "partial 16S ribosomal RNA". It matches the Rfam family "Bacterial small subunit ribosomal RNA", at positions 30 to 523 of the family's 1533-position model. The record is from RNAcentral.